GGACGUGUAGCCCAACGGCAGAGGCAACGGACUUAAAAUCCGUACAGUAUGGGUUCGAAUCCCAUUACGUCUA
This 73-nucleotide transfer RNA is filed under the name Caudoviricetes sp. RNAcentral describes it as "tRNA-Leu". It matches the Rfam family "tRNA". From Rfam's summary of the family: Transfer RNA (tRNA) molecules are approximately 80 nucleotides in length. Their secondary structure includes four short double-helical elements and three loops (D, anti-codon, and T loops). Further hydrogen bonds mediate the characteristic L-shaped molecular structure. tRNAs have two regions of fundamental functional importance: the anti-codon, which is responsible for specific mRNA codon recognition, and the 3' end, to which the tRNAs corresponding amino acid is attached (by aminoacyl-tRNA synthetases). tRNAs cope with the degeneracy of the genetic code in two manners: having more than one tRNA (with a specific anti-codon) for a particular amino acid; and 'wobble' base-pairing, i.e. permitting non-standard base-pairing at the 3rd anti-codon position. The record is from RNAcentral. Lineage: Duplodnaviria; Heunggongvirae; Uroviricota; Caudoviricetes.